RNAcentral lists this ribosomal RNA (497 nucleotides) under uncultured bacterium. Its description in RNAcentral is "partial 16S ribosomal RNA". It matches the Rfam family "Bacterial small subunit ribosomal RNA", at positions 28 to 507 of the family's 1533-position model. The record is from RNAcentral.
GAUGAACGCUGGCGGCGUGCCUAAUACAUGCAAGUCGAGCGAACAGAUAAGGAGCUUGCUCCUUUGACGUUAGCGGCGGACGGGUGAGUAACACGUGGGUAACCUACCUAUAAGACUGGGAUAACUUCGGGAAACCGGAGCUAAUACCGGAUAAUAUUUCGAACCGCAUGGUUCGAUAGUGAAAGAUGGUUUUGCUAUCACUUAUAGAUGGACCCGCGCCGUAUUAGCUAGUUGGUAAGGUAACGGCUUACCAAGGCGACGAUACGUAGCCGACCUGAGAGGGUGAUCGGCCACACUGGAACUGAGACACGGUCCAGACUCCUACGGGAGGCAGCAGUAGGGAAUCUUCCACAAUGGGCGAAAGCCUGACGGAGCAACGCCGCGUGAGUGAUGAAGGUCUUCGGAUCGUAAAACUCUGUUAUUAGGGAAGAACAUAAGUGUAAGUAACUGUGCACGUCUUGACGGUACCUAAUCAGAAAGCCACGGCUAACUACGUG